RNAcentral lists this ribosomal RNA (253 nucleotides) under uncultured bacterium. RNAcentral's name for it is "partial 16S ribosomal RNA". It matches the Rfam family "Bacterial small subunit ribosomal RNA", at positions 524 to 776 of the family's 1533-position model. The record is from RNAcentral.
UACGUAGGGGGCAAGCGUUAUCCGGAUUUACUGGGUGUAAAGGGAGCGUAGACGGCGGCGCAAGUCUGGAGUGAAAUCCCGGGGCUCAACCCCGGAACUGCUUUGGAAACUGCGCGGCUCGAGUGCAGGAGGGGCAGGCGGAAUUCCUAGUGUAGCGGUGAAAUGCGUAGAUAUUAGGAGGAACACCAGUGGCGAAGGCGGCCUGCUGGACUGUAACUGACGUUGAGGCUCGAAAGCGUGGGGAGCAAACAGG